UCAAAGUUCACUUUCACACCCUCACAUUAAUAUGCUUCUUUUCUUCAUAAACCAUAGUAAAUCAAAGCCAUAACAAAGAAGCCAAAACAAAAAGAAGAAGAAAAAAUCUCAUCUCUCUCUCUGUAUGGACUUCAACCUGAAGCAAUGGAGAAACCAUCAGCAUGAGUCAGAAGAACCCUAGGUGAAAAUGAGAGGAAGAUGAAGGGGAAGGGUUUGGAAAAGGGUCUGGAAAGU
This 234-nucleotide long non-coding RNA is filed under the name Nicotiana benthamiana. RNAcentral describes it as "long non-coding RNA (NBEN_LNC001145)". The record is from RNAcentral. Lineage: Eukaryota; Viridiplantae; Streptophyta; Magnoliopsida; Solanales; Solanaceae.